Molecule: microRNA precursor, 62 nt
Filed under: Microcaecilia unicolor
Lineage: Eukaryota; Metazoa; Chordata; Amphibia; Gymnophiona; Siphonopidae
Description: Mun-Mir-26-P4_pre stem-loop
Source: RNAcentral
UUCAAGUAAUCCAGGAUAGGCUGUUUCCAUGGCAACGCGGCCUACUCUUGAUUACUUGUUCC